GCUCAGUGCUUACAAUGGAUGGGCUUCCAUGGCCCCAGUGCUCCUCCCACCCACACGUAGGCUCAUGCCCUGCUGGAAGCUGGGUUCAAAGAGUGUUACCCUUUAACUUGGUGGCUCCAAAGGGGUUGGGGAUGCUGUGGUGCGGCCCAGAUCCCUCUGCCCAGCCCUGUGUGAACAGCAGAGAGCAGGUCUCAGCCUCCAACCAGUCCCAGAGCCUGUUCUCACUCCCCCUCUGAUGUGGGACUCCCACCAGCUGCUCUCAGCCUUCUGAAUGAGAGUGAAACUGACGCUAGGAAUGCUGAGAUCUUGGAACAAACUCUGUCAUAUGUUCCUGCUGCCCCUCAGUCACACAUCACCGCGCUGCCAAGUCUGCCAGAACCAAAACCACAUCGUAGGGUAUGAAAUAUUCAUCCUGGCUCCGCAGUGGCUGUCAGUGGCUCCACAUUCCUUCCUCUGCACCUGUGAAACUCUCUGCUCUCCUUCGGAUGCUGCAGAUUCUGCGACCCUGCCAACCAGUGGUUCCCCCGGGGCUGCAGGGAGCAGGAGCUGGCAGGACAUGAGCAAGCUGAAUAUCAUUCACCUUAAGCAGCUCGGAGAUGUUCAGGGGCAUAAAACCUUUCAGAGCUCAGCGUGGCAUUUUUCAACAUGACGCUUCCCUCUAGAAAGAUCUGAGAUGCUCCCACAGCUCCUGGCUCUCACUUGGGUACCCCAAAGGUAAAAGACCCACUCGUGGAUCACAGAGCCCAUCGCUGCCCAUCCCCAUUGCAACACCAUCCGUGGGGAGGAGUUAAGAUAAUUGACCAUUGCAAGGGAAUGUGCUUCAGUUGGGAGCAGAAAAACAGCUGGGUUGUUUCCAGGCCAAAGGGAUAAAUGGGUUUUUCCCAAGCAUGAUGUUGACUCUCAUUGGAUUUGCUCCUGCUGUCUUAUGAGGGGACUGGUGCCUCAUUGCAAGGUGGCUGGGAGCAGAGCUGGGGGCAGAGCUUUCCUCUCCAUCCCACCCACGGUCACUAAUGAAGACAGCAGCAAACCCCCCAUAGAGCAGAGCUGUGCCCAGAAAUCCCAACAUCUCUUCCCUGGGUUUCAGCACUGCAUCCAGCAAACAGAGUUCAAAGGGAUGAGGCUGCAGUUUGGGUGCUUUCCUUUCCCUUUUCCCACACUGGGCUGCUCCCAGCAGUCUCUGUCUUCACUGUUCUGCCAUAAUUACUUUCUCCUCUUUCUCCAGCCAACCUCCAAGCGCUGCUUUGCGAGGGGAAUUGCUAUUCCCUUGUCAGGAGAUGGGAUUCUGGUGUAAUUGAGAGAGAAGCAGCAGCCUCUGCUCCUGACCAGGGAGCUCCCUCCUCCCUCCCACUCACCAUUGUAUGGGAAGCAGAAGCCCUCAAGUUAUACUGGACAGACUCUUGGAAAUAACCUUUUUCAUCUCAAAGAUCCUGCUGAAUUUUAGAUUAAAAAGGAAGCUUUUCUUUCAAUAAUGUAUUUCCCCCUUGGCUCCCUGGCUAUCAAGUAACUUUCCCUGCACCGAGAGCUCAAAAAAGAUGAAGCUUCCCCAAAUUCAGAUUCAUGAGCUGAAUCCCACACCUCCCCGAAGCCUGGCUGCGGAGAGCAAAGGCAAGCAGGGCAUGAAUUUCACAUUAAGAAGAAUAAAUAAAGCACAACCUCUUUGCUUUCCUUCUCC
This 1672-nucleotide long non-coding RNA is filed under the name Coturnix japonica (Japanese quail). RNAcentral describes it as "lncRNA (ENSCJPG00005016939.1)". The record is from RNAcentral. Lineage: Eukaryota; Metazoa; Chordata; Aves; Galliformes; Phasianidae.